This 82-nucleotide microRNA precursor is filed under the name Chlorocebus sabaeus (green monkey). RNAcentral's name for it is "miRNA (ENSCSAG00000027535.1)". Lineage: Eukaryota; Metazoa; Chordata; Mammalia; Primates; Cercopithecidae. The record is from RNAcentral.
GUAUUAGGUCGAGGCAAAAGUAAUUGUGUUUUUUGCCACUAAAAUUGCAAAACUGCAAUUACUUUUGCACCAACCUAAUGUU